Long non-coding RNA from Balaenoptera ricei (Rice's whale), 2201 nucleotides. RefSeq lists it as uncharacterized. The record is from RefSeq and is a predicted model, not a curated record. The transcript is spliced from 4 exons. NCBI's taxonomy places the organism in Eukaryota, Metazoa, Chordata, Mammalia, Artiodactyla, Balaenopteridae.
GGGAGGCCAUUUUGGGGACGUAGUGGUUGGCCGCCCUUGACCGGCCCCCGCCCGGCCCCUGGACCAGGAGCCUCCAGCCAGAGCAUCUUCUCUCCUCAGCUGCUGAAGAGUCCCCCGCCUGCCGGGUUCUCGACGGGAAUCUCUGUCCAGACUCCUUUCUGCCCUUCACCUACCUCCGCAUAAGCCAGAAUACUCUUCCGUCGCAUUCUGCGGAAAAUAUCUUCCCGGUCCCCCGACGUCAGCACCUCCUCCACUUCAGCUCCGUCUCCCUUUUCCCCAACCUGAGCUGGAUCCCAAUCUUGGAUUCUCCUCCCCUGUCUCCUGGCCUCCACAAAUCAUUCAGCCUGGCACCUUUUUCUCGGUAGGAAGAGAGACUUGGUUGUAUUUUGAGAAUAAGCAAGAAGAGUGAGCAAGAUUCAAGAAAUAGAGAGAGAGAGAGAGCACUCAAAGCCUGGACAUAGAAGAAAAGUUGCAGGAUCUCUCCUUGUUCUCAGUGGAGGUAGAAAGAGUGUUGGCAACUGGCAGAGUUGUCUAUGUCAGAGACAUAAACAGAAAGAUGAGUACACAGACGGUCGUAAAUCCACUUUCUCAGAAGUACAAGGGAAGAGCCCAUAUGCCUGGGUUGGCUGUUCCUUCAAACAAGAGAACUGAUCCUCCAAAGAAAGUGUGCAGUUAAGGAAACUGCCAGCUUUCAGCACCCUGAAGGUUUAUUUAAUUAGGUCACCUCUUCUUCUGCACUCUUAAUAUGGCUCCCUUCACGCAGUCUGAGGCCAAGAGAGCAUCAUGACAAAAAGAAAUGAUCAAUAAAAAAGACGGUUCUUGACAACCCAAGCCGACUCUAGGGUUCGGGAGACUAAGGCCCCAUCCUCAACUCCCCGGCAGCCAGCGCCCCCUCCCGGGAGGCGGGUGCGCAGCAAAGGAGCGCAGGCCGCCUCUGUCCUUCGCUGGACUUCAGCGCUUUCUUCCCACCCCCGCGCCAGGGUUCCUCCUGCCCCGUCCCGCCCCCGCCGCUGGCGCCUCCGCGUCCGCGUGCCGCCCAGCCCCGGGCGUUCGCCGCUCCAGCUGCACCGGCCGGCGCUGCCCACCCACCCACACGUCAAACGCCCUCUUUUCCCCUGAAAAGUUUCUAGACUAUAGGGACUAUUUUCUUCUAAUGUAACCUUCCACCAAACUGGAGGGAAAAGUUGGAGGCAGGAGAAGGGCUGGGGAGCUGGGGGAGGUCCUGGAUUUUAAAAAAGAGGUCACUCUUCCUUGAAAAUGAAUAAUUGCGCCUUCAAGCCAGAGCUUGGUUUGUUGGGUUAAUUGUAAAAGGUGCACGAUGAUGCUAAAUAUUUAAGAUGGAGUUGUUGUUUUUUAGUUAAUAUAUAGUAAAAUAGAUUGCACUAGACAAAUGGUUCUUGUCUUCGGACCUUGCAGUUCUUUCUAUUGAUUCUCAUCUGUCCCCUUCCUCCCCGCCCGCUCCCAAAUCCUUAUGUUCAGCUAUAGACAAAACAAGGUCCCCUGGGAAUGACUUCUUAAAUCCAAGAGACAAAAGUCAAACCUAGAAACUGCUCUUCUGGGAAGUUGGCUGAAUUCUGUCCAUAUUCUGGAUGGGUAAAUUCACCUGCAGAAAUAUUUAAUGAUUAGGAAAACCCAAUAGGCCUGUAUUUUUCAGAUUAUGAGUGGCAAAAUCAGUUUGGCAAGGAGUAUUAGGGAGGGAGGAAGGGAGGAAGAAAGAAAGGGAAGAAGGGACAAGGGAAGAAAGGAAGGAAAAGAAAGGAAGGAGCCAGCAUAAAAGAAUAGAAAAAUAUUACAUAACUAAGGAUCAAUAUUCUUUCAUGAGAGCUUCCCUGGUGGCACAGUGGUUAAGACUCUGCCUGCCAAUGCAGGGGACACGGGUUUGAGCCCUGGUCCAGGAAGAUCCCACAUGCGGUGGAGCCCACGUGCCUAGAGCCCGUGAGCCACAACUACUGAGCCUGUGCUCUAGAGCCCACAAACCACAACUACUGAGCCUGCGUGCUACAACUACUGAAGCCCGCGCACCUAGAGCCCAUGCUUCACAACAAGAGAAGCCACCACAGUGAGAAGCCCGCGCACUUCAAGGAAGAGUAGGCCCCGCUCGCCACAACUAGAGAAAGCCCGCCUGCAGCAAUGAAGACCCAACGCAGCCAAAAGUAAAAUAAAUAAAUUUAUAAAAAAUAUAUAUAUAUUCUUUCGUGAAA